GAUGAACGCUGGCGGCGUGCCUAAUACAUGCAAGUCGAGCGAACGGACGAGAAGCUUGCUUCUCUGAUGUUAGCGGCGGACGGGUGAGUAACACGUGGAUAACCUACCUAUAAGACUGGGAUAACUUCGGGAAACCGGAGCUAAUACCGGAUAAUAUUUUGAACCGCAUGGUUCAAAAGUGAAAGACGGUCUUGCUGUCACUUAUAGAUGGAUCCGCGCUGCAUUAGCUAGUUGGUAAGGUAACGGCUUACCAAGGCAACGAUGCAUAGCCGACCUGAGAGGGUGAUCGGCCACACUGGAACUGAGACACGGUCCAGACUCCUACGGGAGGCAGCAGUAGGGAAUCUUCCGCAAUGGGCGAAAGCCUGACGGAGCAACGCCGCGUGAGUGAUGAAGGUCUUCGGAUCGUAAAACUCUGUUAUUAGGGAAGAACAUAUGUGUAAGUAACUGUGCACAUCUUGACGGUACCUAAUCAGAAAGCCACGGCUAACUACGUGCCAGCAGCCGCGGUAAUACGUAGGUGGCAAGCGUUAUCCGGAAUUAUUGGGCGUAAAGCGCGCGUAGGCGGUUUUUUAAGUCUGAUGUGAAAGCCCACGGCUCAACCGUGGAGGGUCAUUGGAAACUGGAAAACUUGAGUGCAGAAGAGGAAAGUGGAAUUCCAUGUGUAGCGGUGAAAUGCGCAGAGAUAUGGAGGAACACCAGUGGCGAAGGCGACUUUCUGGUCUGUAACUGACGCUGAUGUGCGAAAGCGUGGGGAUCAAACAGGAUUAGAUACCCUGGUAGUCCACGCCGUAAACGAUGAGUGCUAAGUGUUAGGGGGUUUCCGCCCCUUAGUGCUGCAGCUAACGCAUUAAGCACUCCGCCUGGGGAGUACGACCGCAAGGUUGAAACUCAAAGGAAUUGACGGGGACCCGCACAAGCGGUGGAGCAUGUGGUUUAAUUCGAAGCAACGCGAAGAACCUUACCAAAUCUUGACAUCCUUUGACAACUCUAGAGAUAGAGCCUUCCCCUUCGGGGGACAAAGUGACAGGUGGUGCAUGGUUGUCGUCAGCUCGUGUCGUGAGAUGUUGGGUUAAGUCCCGCAACGAGCGCAACCCUUAAGCUUAGUUGCCAUCAUUAAGUUGGGCACUCUAAGUUGACUGCCGGUGACAAACCGGAGGAAGGUGGGGAUGACGUCAAAUCAUCAUGCCCCUUAUGAUUUGGGCUACACACGUGCUACAAUGGGCAAUACAAAGGGCAGCGAAACCGCGAGGUCAAGCAAAUCCCAUAAAGUUGUUCUCAGUUCGGAUUGUAGUCUGCAACUCGACUACAUGAAGCUGGAAUCGCUAGUAAUCGUAGAUCAGCAUGCUACGGUGAAUACGUUCCCGGGUCU
RNAcentral lists this ribosomal RNA (1372 nucleotides) under uncultured bacterium. Its description in RNAcentral is "bacterial SSU rRNA". It matches the Rfam family "Bacterial small subunit ribosomal RNA", at positions 28 to 1381 of the family's 1533-position model. The record is from RNAcentral.